UACGAAGGGGGCGAGCGUUGCUCGGAAUCACUGGGCGUAAAGCGCACGUAGGCGGAUCUUUAAGUCAGGGGUGAAAUCCUGGAGCUCAACUCCAGAACUGCCUUUGAUACUGGGGAUCUCGAGUCCGGAAGAGGUGAGUGGAACUCCGAGUGUAGAGGUGAAAUUCGUAGAUAUUCGGAAGAACACCAGUGGCGAAGGCGGCUCACUGGUCCGGUACUGACGCUGAGGUGCGAAAGCGUGGGGAGCAAACAGG
This 253-nucleotide ribosomal RNA is filed under the name uncultured bacterium. RNAcentral describes it as "partial 16S ribosomal RNA". It matches the Rfam family "Bacterial small subunit ribosomal RNA", at positions 524 to 776 of the family's 1533-position model. The record is from RNAcentral.